GCCAAAAAUCUAGCCUUCUACCUAGUAAACUUAAUUAAUUAAUUACACUAAUUAAAACAUUUUUAUAUUUUAGUAAAGGAGAUUGAACAACUUUUUUAGAGCUAUAGAAAUAGUACCGCAAGGGAAAGAUGAAAUAAAAAUGAAACAAAUUUCAAGCACAAUAAAGUAGAGAUAAACCCUCGUACCUUUUGCAUCAUGGUUUAACUAGUCAAAUCAAGCAAAACGAUUUAUAGUUUGACCCCCCGAAACUAAGCGAGCUACUUCAAGGCAGCUUUAUGAGCGAACCCGUCUCUGUCGCAAAAGAGUGGGAAGACCUUUAAGUAGCGGUGACAGACCUAACGAGCUUAGUGAUAGCUGGUUUCUCAAGAAAAGAAUUUUAGUUCAACCUAAAGAAUGAUUAAUAAUUUUAAAUAACCUCUUUAGAGCAAUUCAAUUAAGGUACAGCUUAUUUGAACUAGGGUACAACCUAGACCUAAGGGUAAUUAUUUCUACUACAAUUAAGUAGGCUUAAAAGCAGCCAUCUUCCAAAUAGCGUCACAGCUUUAUUGUUUUAUUAAAAAAAUACCGUAAAUAAUCAAGAACCCUCCACCUAUAUUGAGUACUUCUAUAUUUUUAUAGAAUUUUUAAUGUUAAAACUAGUAACAAGUAGCAAGACCUUCUCUUCAAUGUAAAUAUAAAUCAUAAAGGACACACCAACGACUAUUAACAUACAUGAAAACAAAUUAGCAACUUACAUGAAAAACCUAAUUUAUAUUAUGUUAACCUAACACAAGAACACUACAAGAAAGAUUUAAAGAAAAAGAAGGAACUCGGCAAACAAUAACCCCGCCUGUUUACCAAAAACAUCGCCUCUUGAUUAAAUAUAAGAGGUCCAGCCUGCCCAGUGACUUUGUUCAACGGCCGCGGUAUUCUAACCGUGCAAAGGUAGCGUAAUCACUUGCCCUUUAAAUAAGGGCUAGUAUGAACGGCAUCACGAGGGUUAAACUGUCUCCUUUUUCUGAUCAGUAAACCUAAUCUCCCCGUGAAAAAGCGGGGAUAAAACUAUAAGACGAGAAGACCCUAUGGAGCUUUAAACUAAGUAACACCAGCUUAUAUAUUUUAUACCCCCCCGAGCACCAACACUUAUUCUAGCUGAAUGUUAACCGUUUUAGGUUGGGGCGACCACGGAGUAAAAAAUAACCUCCACAUUGAACGGAAUUUUUCCUGAGCUGAGGGCCACUACCCUGAGCACUAAUAAAUUAACAUCUAUUGACCCAAUAUUUUGAUCAAUGAACCAAGUUACCCUAGGGAUAACAGCGCAAUCUGCUUAGAGAGCCCCUAUCGACAAGCAGGCUUACGACCUCGAUGUUGGAUCAGGGUACCCCAGUGGUGCAGCUGCUACUAAAGGUUCGUUUGUUCAACGAUUAAAACCCU
RNAcentral lists this ribosomal RNA (1413 nucleotides) under Bromeliohyla melacaena. RNAcentral's name for it is "partial 16S ribosomal RNA". It matches the Rfam family "Bacterial large subunit ribosomal RNA", at positions 378 to 2597 of the family's 2925-position model. Lineage: Eukaryota; Metazoa; Chordata; Amphibia; Anura; Hylidae. The record is from RNAcentral.